This 721-nucleotide ribosomal RNA is filed under the name uncultured bacterium. RNAcentral describes it as "bacterial SSU rRNA". It matches the Rfam family "Bacterial small subunit ribosomal RNA", at positions 728 to 1448 of the family's 1533-position model. The record is from RNAcentral.
UCUGNUCUGUCACUGACGCUGAGGCUCGAAAGCGUGGGUAGCGAACAGGAUUAGAUACCCUGGUAGUCCACGCCGUAAACGAUGAGUGCUAGGUGUUAGGCCCUUUCCGGGGCUUAGUGCCGGAGCUAACGCAAUAAGCACUCCGCCUGGGGAGUACGACCGCAAGGUUGAAACUCAAAGGAAUUGACGGGGGCCCGCACAAGCGGUGGAGCAUGUGGUUUAAUUCGAAGCAACGCGAAGAACCUUACCAGGUCUUGACAUCCCGAUGCUAUUCUUAGAGAUAGGAAGUUACUUCGGUACAUCGGAGACAGGUGGUGCAUGGUUGUCGUCAGCUCGUGUCGUGAGAUGUUGGGUUAAGUCCCGCAACGAGCGCAACCCUUAUUGUUAGUUGCCAUCAUUAAGUUGGGCACUCUAGCGAGACUGCCGGUAAUAAACCGGAGGAAGGUGGGGAUGACGUCAAAUCAUCAUGCCCCUUAUGACCUGGGCUACACACGUGCUACAAUGGUCGGUACAACGAGUUGCGAGCCGGUGACGGCAAGCUAAUCUCUGAAAGCCGAUCUCAGUUCGGAUUGGAGGCUGCAACUCGCCUCCAUGAAGUCGGAAUCGCUAGUAAUCGCGGAUCAGCACGCCGCGGUGAAUACGUUCCCGGGCCUUGUACACACCGCCCGUCACACCACGAGAGUUUGUAACACCCGAAGUCGGUGAGGUAACCUUUUAGGGG